RNAcentral lists this ribosomal RNA (1943 nucleotides) under Salmonella enterica. RNAcentral describes it as "partial 23S ribosomal RNA". It matches the Rfam family "Bacterial large subunit ribosomal RNA", at positions 1005 to 2925 of the family's 2925-position model. The record is from RNAcentral. Lineage: Bacteria; Pseudomonadati; Pseudomonadota; Gammaproteobacteria; Enterobacterales; Enterobacteriaceae.
CCGUCGUGAAGAGGGAAACAACCCAGACCGCCAGCUAAGGUCCCAAAGUCAUGGUUAAGUGGGAAACGAUGUGGGAAGGCCCAGACAGCCAGGAUGUUGGCUUAGAAGCAGCCAUCAUUUAAAGAAAGCGUAAUAGCUCACUGGUCGAGUCGGCCUGCGCGGAAGAUGUAACGGGGCUAAACCAUGCACCGAAGCUGCGGCAGCGACACUCAGGUGUUGUUGGGUAGGGGAGCGUUCUGUAAGCCUGCGAAGGUGGCCUGUGAGGGUUGCUGGAGGUAUCAGAAGUGCGAAUGCUGACAUAAGUAACGAUAAAGCGGGUGAAAAGCCCGCUCGCCGGAAGACCAAGGGUUCCUGUCCAACGUUAAUCGGGGCAGGGUGAGUCGACCCCUAAGGCGAGGCCGAAAGGCGUAGUCGAUGGGAAACGGGUUAAUAUUCCCGUACUUGGUGUUACUGCGAAGGGGGGACGGAGAAGGCUAUGUUGGCCGGGCGACGGUUGUCCCGGUUUAAGCGUGUAGGUGUGUGUUCCAGGUAAAUCCGGUUCACUUUAACACUGAGGCGUGAUGACGAGGCACUACGGUGCUGAAGCAACAAAUGCCCUGCUUCCAGGAAAAGCCUCUAAGCAUCAGGUAACAUCAAAUCGUACCCCAAACCGACACAGGUGGUCAGGUAGAGAAUACCAAGGCGCUUGAGAGAACUCGGGUGAAGGAACUAGGCAAAAUGGUGCCGUAACUUCGGGAGAAGGCACGCUGACACGUAGGUGAAGUGAUUUACUCAUGGAGCUGAAGUCAGUCGAAGAUACCAGCUGGCUGCAACUGUUUAUUAAAAACACAGCACUGUGCAAACACGAAAGUGGACGUAUACGGUGUGACGCCUGCCCGGUGCCGGAAGGUUAAUUGAUGGGGUCAGCGCAAGCGAAGCUCCUGAUCGAAGCCCCGGUAAACGGCGGCCGUAACUAUAACGGUCCUAAGGUAGCGAAAUUCCUUGUCGGGUAAGUUCCGACCUGCACGAAUGGCGUAAUGAUGGCCAGGCUGUCUCCACCCGAGACUCAGUGAAAUUGAACUCGCUGUGAAGAUGCAGUGUACCCGCGGCAAGACGGAAAGACCCCGUGAACCUUUACUAUAGCUUGACACUGAACAUUGAGCCUUGAUGUGUAGGAUAGGUGGGAGGCUUUGAAGUGUGGACGCCAGUCUGCAUGGAGCCGGCCUUGAAAUACCACCCUUUAAUGUUUGAUGUUCUAACGUGGACCCGUGAUCCGGGUUGCGGACAGUGUCUGGUGGGUAGUUUGACUGGGGCGGUCUCCUCCUAAAGAGUAACGGAGGAGCACGAAGGUUGGCUAAUCCUGGUCGGACAUCAGGAGGUUAGUGCAAUGGCAUAAGCCAGCUUGACUGCGAGCGUGACGGCGCGAGCAGGUGCGAAAGCAGGUCAUAGUGAUCCGGUGGUUCUGAAUGGAAGGGCCAUCGCUCAACGGAUAAAAGGUACUCCGGGGAUAACAGGCUGAUACCGCCCAAGAGUUCAUAUCGACGGCGGUGUUUGGCACCUCGAUGUCGGCUCAUCACAUCCUGGGGCUGAAGUAGGUCCCAAGGGUAUGGCUGUUCGCCAUUUAAAGUGGUACGCGAGCUGGGUUUAGAACGUCGUGAGACAGUUCGGUCCCUAUCUGCCGUGGGCGCUGGAGAACUGAGGGGGGCUGCUCCUAGUACGAGAGGACCGGAGUGGACGCAUCACUGGUGUUCGGGUUGUCAUGCCAAUGGCACUGCCCGGUAGCUAAAUGCGGAAGAGAUAAGUGCUGAAAGCAUCUAAGCACGAAACUUGCCCCGAGAUGAGUUCUCCCUGAGACUUUAGGUCUCCUGAAGGAACGUUGAAGACGACGACGUUGAUAGGCCGGGUGUGUAAGCGCAGCGAUGCGUUGAGCUAACCGGUACUAAUGAACCGUGAGGCUUAACCUU